Molecule: unclassified non-coding RNA, 308 nt
Filed under: plant metagenome
Description: partial contains 5.8S ribosomal RNA, internal transcribed spacer 2, and large subunit ribosomal RNA
Rfam family: 5.8S ribosomal RNA (bases 1-104)
Source: RNAcentral
AAAUGCGAUAAGUAAUGUGAAUUGCAGAAUUCAGUGAAUCAUCGAAUCUUUGAACGCACCUUGCGCUCCUUGGUAUUCCUUGGAGCAUGCCUGUUUGAGUAUCAUUUGUACCCUCAAGCUCUGCUUGGUGUUGGGUGUUUGUCCCGUCUCCGCGCGUGGACUCGCCCCAAAGUGAUUGGCAGCCGGCGUACUGGUCCCGGAGCGCAGCACAUGUCGCGCAAACGAGUGCCUUGGUACGGCGGCGUCCAUAAGCCCCUCUCUCACGCUCUUGACCUCGGAUCAGGUAGGGAUACCCGCUGAACUUAAGC